UACGAAGGGGACUAGCGUUGUUCGGAAUCACUGGGCGUAAAGCGCACGUAGGCGGAUAUGUCAGUCAGGGGUGAAAUCCCGGGGCUCAACCUCGGAACUGCCUUUGAUACAGCAUGUCUUGAGUCCGAUAGAGGUGGGUGGAAUUCCUAGUGUAGAGGUGAAAUUCGUAGAUAUUGGGAAGAACACCGGUGGCGAAGGCGGCGCUCUGGACCGAGACUGACGCUGAGGCGCGAAAGCGUGGGGAGCAAACAGGG
Molecule: ribosomal RNA, 254 nt
Filed under: uncultured bacterium
Lineage: Bacteria
Description: partial 16S ribosomal RNA
Rfam family: Bacterial small subunit ribosomal RNA
Source: RNAcentral